CUGUCUGUCCGCCAGCCGGGGAGGAGCGCUCCGGCCGCCGCUGACAAAGGAUGGGAGGAUGCCUGCACCCCGGGAUUCGGGCUGCGCGAAGCCCGGCGGUCGCCUGAGCGGCUUCGUUUCCCUCCGCUGCUGGACAGACGUCCUGAACCACAGCAUCUCUGGCCAUGGGACAUUUACACCUCCUCUUUGCUCUGCUUCUUGGUUCGCUCUACAUGAACGGACUUAUAUCUGGGAUUUGUAUAUUCAGCAAGUAUUUACUGAGUGUGAUAAAGAAGGAGUGGAGCUGCAGGGAUAGUGCAGAUUCUGGAACAACCUCCACCCCCAAGUCAGAGUUAAGAUGAAGAAGGAAGGACUCGAGGCUUCCAGAACUUAGACUAGCUGUCAAGCAGGAAGCAGUGGAAUCUACACUGAAACCCAGAUCCAGGCUCUCCAUUCCAUGAUCCAUUGCUACAAGGAAAUGUACCCAGGAAGAGUUUUGAGAGUAUCUUCCUAAUUGUCCUGCUGGGAUUAAACAGGACACCACUGUUUUUCGUGGAAAUUCCAGAGAUUGAACUCAUGCCACAGCAGUGACCUGAGCCACUGCAGGAACAACACUGGAUCCCUAACCUGCUGGGCCACAAAGGAACUCCUAAUCUCUCAUGUUAGAAGACUGAUGCUGGUUGCCAUUUAGAAGUGGGAGGGCAAGGGGAGGAGGUAAGGGUAUGAGUUGAAACAGUUCUUGGCAAACUGAAACAUGCUGUGACCACAUGGAGUGUCAUUAACGUGAAGAGUCUCCUUCAGGGUCCAGCAAGGCUGUGGCUUUGCAUGUCCUACUAUCUCCCAAGCCAGACCGAUGCUGCCUGCUGGCCCAUGGACCAUGUUUGGAGUAGCAAGAAGUUAGCUGGCUGUUUCAGUAACUGAGGCAAUAGAUCAGAUCAUGGUGGCCUAUAUCAGAGUAGGGCCCUGGAAGUGUGUGGAGUCUGAUGUUUUGAGGUAAAGCUCACAAGACUACAUGCAGACUGGCUGAUAUCCCCAGGACCUUGGUCUCUACUGGAGGGAUGGAAGUGCUGUCACCAAGGUUACGGUCAGAGCAGGAGUUGGAGGGGAGAUAAAGUCAGAGUUUUCUUUUUGACAUAUACAAUUUGGGAUGCCUCACAGGCAUCAGGUGGAAAUAUUAAGUAGCAUUUGAAAAUGUACCUGCAGAAUAUAUCUGGAGGAAACUCGAAAAUGAAAGAUACAUGCAUCGCUAUGUCCACUACAGCACUAUUUACAAUAACAAAGACAAGUAACAAAGACAUGGAAGCAGCCUAAAUAUAUACAAUGUGGAAUAGUACUCAGCAAUAAAAAUGAAUGAAACAAUGCCAUUUGCAGCAACAUGGGUGGACCUAGAGAUUAUCAUGAGUGAAGUUAGUCAGAAAGAGAAAGACAAAUAUUGUAUGAUAUCACUUAUAUGUGGAAUCUAAAAUGUAACACAAAUGAACUUAUUUUCAAAACAGAAGCAAACUCACAAAUAUAGAGAAUAGACUUGUGAUUGCCAAGGGGAAGUGGGGAGGGAGGGGGAUAGACAGGGAAUUUGGGAUUAGCAGAUGCAAAUUAUUAUAUAUAGAAUGGAUAAAUAAGAAGGUCCUACUAUAUAGCACAGUGAACUAUUUGCAAUAUCCUUUGAAACCAUAGUAGAAAAGAAUACAAAAAAUUGUGUAUAUUAUACACUUAACUGAAUUACUUUUCUGUACAGCAGUUAAUAAGACAACAUGGUAAAUAAACUAUACUUCAGUAAAAUUAUUUUUUAAUAUUACUCAAUGAAUUUAUUACAUUUAUGGUUGUACAAUGAUCAUCACAACACAAUUUUAUAGCAUUUCCAUCCCAAACCCCAAAUAUACAUCCAGAAUUCAGGGAAGAGGCCUAAGACAGACACCUGCAUUGGUUACUCUAUCAUGCCAUAAAUAUGUGCCUCUCUUAAAAGAUGCAAGAAGGGGAUUAGAGUAUGGCAUGUUCAAAGUGAGGUAUAUGGAAUGACUGGCCAGUGGAGAACUGCUGUAUAGCACAGGAAACUCUGCUCAAUAUUCUGUGAUAAUCUAUAUGGGAAAAUAAUCUGAAAGAGAAUGGAUGUGUGUCAUGUAUAACUGAAUCACUUUGUUGUGCAGCAGAAAUCAUAACAACAUUGUAAGUCAACUGCAAUAAAACUUUAAAAAAUUUAAAAAACAAUGCAAGGAAACAGAAGCAAUAAAAAUAUAAUUGAAUUAUGUUUCUCAAAUGUGUGUGUGUGUGUGUGUGUGUGUGUGUGUGCACGCGCGCAUGCGCACACAUGCUCAUUUGUGUUGUACAUGUGACAAGAAUGAGAUGGUAUAAUUUCCUUUCUGGGAGCUAAAUUGCUAUGUUUUAAUUCAUCGGUUUGUAAGGAAAAUAACUGAGAUAACUUUUGGUGAUAUUUUCUGUUCAUUGCAUUCAGAAAAACGGUUGAACAGAUAUGGCCAAGGGUAUAUUCUUCCGUGUUUCAUACACAAAUGACUGUGGUCAACAGAGGUUAUAACAUUAUGUUUGUGUUAGAGACCAUGGAUUUAGUCACAGCUCUCAUCCUUAAUAGCUGAGUAAAUCUGGUCAAGUUAAUUAGCAUAUCUGGUCCUCAGUAUCAACAUUUGUGAAAAAUGGAUUAAAACACUUGUUCCCCAUGAUUGUUGGGAAGAAUAAACCUGACAGCGUUUUUAACUAAUGACUGUGUUUUUACUAAUAUUUACUAAGUUAGGCUCUUACAUCUAUUAAUUCAUGUUUAGCAUAUUUAUUCCCUAGAUUAGAAAAUUUUAUGAGAUAAUGACACAAAAGUUGAUUUUUUGGUGCUUUCCCCCCAAAAUAAGAAGUAAAGUUAUAUAAAAUCUUUUAUGAAGGCAGCUAAAACAUGGUAAUAUUUAACAUAUUUAAGGGAAAAAAAA
Molecule: long non-coding RNA, 2906 nt
Filed under: Sus scrofa (pig)
Lineage: Eukaryota; Metazoa; Chordata; Mammalia; Artiodactyla; Suidae
Description: lncRNA (ENSSSCG00050064289.1)
Source: RNAcentral